Molecule: long non-coding RNA, 1319 nt
Organism: Oncorhynchus tshawytscha (Chinook salmon)
Lineage: Eukaryota; Metazoa; Chordata; Actinopteri; Salmoniformes; Salmonidae
Source: Ensembl
UUUAAUGAAUGUACACAUAUAGGAAUUAUGAAAUUCCGAUGACAGAACUCCCACCAGAUCUAAAAUCAUUUGGGAUUGAAAUGUGGUAUUUAGUUUGUUGGUCAGAAUGAUUAUAGUCAUACAAAGAAGAUGCUACAAUCAAAGUGAGUCAGAUCAUGAAGACCUGCAGCACUGAUAGAUUUGUUUAGAUAAUGACUCACCUGUAAAGCUGUGCCCAUCACUGCGUGAGGAGAGAGAGUUUGGUCCUGAGCUCACUCUGUAGUCACAGCUCACCUCCUUACUCCUCAAUGACUGAAGACGACUGAUCAGAUCACUAUAUUUUGCAAUGAAAUGACAGAACUGUUGUCCGGAUGCUGAGGUGGCUUUUCUCUUCUUGAUCUUUGCUGUGAAGGAUGGCUGACUCUCCUCUCCAACAUACAGGUUACAGGUGGUGUCAGGACUGACAGAUCCAGGAAUCAAACAGAUGAUGUUGAAGUCCUCAUCAAAUUUUAAGGUAAUGUCUGGUUUUGGAUCUGUUAGGAAAGGACAGAGACUCCUUUUUGCAUCACUCAAUUUGAAUGUAAUGUACAGUGGGGCAAAAAAGUACUUAUUUUCCACCAUAAUUUGCAAAUAAAUUCAUUAAAAAUCCUACAAUGUGAUUUUCUGGAUUUUUUUUCAUUUUGUCUGUCAUAGUUGAAGUGUACCUAUGAUGAAAAUUACAGGCCUCUCUCAUCUUUUUAAGUGGGAGAACUUGCACAAUUGGUGGCUGACUAAAUACUUUUUUUUGUAUAUGUCAUAAGUGACACUCUUACUAAACUAGAAACUGCCAUUCUCUUUAUAUUAACUAACAGCAUGUCUUAUUUGAUAUCAUCAAUAUUUAUGCGUUCCAAUUAAUCAUGGGUGCUGUGUUUACAACGAUUUCCUUUCACUUAAUUCUUGCUUGUUAAAUUAAAUUACAUCGAAUUGACUAUUUUGCUUGCAUGUAUGGUGUGGGGGAUGAUGGAGUGUGUCACUUGUCAUUUAAUUAUAAAUUAAUUUUCAAAAUUUAAGUACUCAUAGAUAUUGCAGCACCUGAUAUACGUUUAAAAAAAAUAAUAAUUCACUGUUGUCUUUUAGAUGAUAACAAUGCAUCCACAAUUAUGUAGUUUGGGUUAACAAGAUAAAUUUGAUUGAUUGAUGGUAUUAUUAUUUAGUAAAAGUAAAAACGCUCACAAGGACCUUGGGCUUCGAUGUAUUGGAAGGUGACUGGAAAUAACACAAUAGGUCAUGAUCAGGUAAAUGUGCCAUUCAAAAAUAGCAUGAUAGACAAGAACACUGUAGAAGUUGGUAAAGUAUCAUAU